UACGAAGGGGGCUAGCGUUGCUCGGAAUCACUGGGCGUAAAGGGCGCGUAGGCGGACUCUUAAGUCGGGGGUGAAAGCCCAGGGCUCAACCCUGGAAUUGCCUUCGAUACUGAGAGUCUUGAGUUCGGAAGAGGUUGGUGGAACUGCGAGUGUAGAGGUGAAAUUCGUAGAUAUUCGCAAGAACACCAGUGGCGAAGGCGGCCAACUGGCCCGUAACUGACGCUCAGGCACGAAAGCGUGGGUAGCGAACAGG
This 253-nucleotide ribosomal RNA is filed under the name uncultured bacterium. Its description in RNAcentral is "partial 16S ribosomal RNA". It matches the Rfam family "Bacterial small subunit ribosomal RNA", at positions 524 to 776 of the family's 1533-position model. The record is from RNAcentral.